GAAGGACGGCGCAUGCCGUCGGCUGGGGCACCUGCUCCUCCCCCUGCUCCUCCAUACAGCAGGCCGUCGCGCCGCCUGCGACGCGCCCUCUUUGGCCUGGUAGAGGGCGGCUCGACUGCUGAGACGGUCCCGCAGAGCCUGCCUGGCUCGCCUCGCUCCCGGCGCGCGUUGCACGCCCUCCGUUACAGGCUCCGCGCCCGGAGCUGAAGCCUCCUCCUGCUGGACCCACCGAAGGAGUCGGUCACGGUAUUACCCGCGCGGCUCACCCGCGGGCAACUUUGGCAAGUCGCUUCCCAUAAAAUGCGGCCGCCCCCGCGAGAGUGUUCAAAGUUGCCGUGCUGUCCACAUGGACGAGAAAGUACGUUCCAGGGAAGAGAACAGAAAUCAUUUUUUGAAAUUGCUUUAAAAAUAAACAUAGAAGCAGGGAUGGGGAAUCUGUCUUUCCAGAGGUUGGAUUGCCUGACUGCUUGAUGGGAGUUGAUGUCCAGCAAUCUCUGGAGGGCCGCAGACUAAAAUGGAUUGUACAAAUUAAUAGAAGAUCGAUCAUAAGAGGAGCAGCUAUGUUCAAGAGCAAUAUACCUCUGAAUGCCAAAUGAUAUGAUCAAUAAAGGCAGGUUGCCAGUUUCUUUGA
This is a long non-coding RNA of Candoia aspera, 631 nucleotides long. RefSeq lists it as uncharacterized. NCBI's taxonomy places the organism in Eukaryota, Metazoa, Chordata, Lepidosauria, Squamata, Candoiidae. The transcript has 2 exons. The record is from RefSeq and is a predicted model, not a curated record.